UAAACUAGGCUGGGGCCCUUGGGCACACA
This 29-nucleotide small RNA is filed under the name Bombyx mori (domestic silkworm). RNAcentral's name for it is "piRNA piR-bmo-2252454". The record is from RNAcentral. Lineage: Eukaryota; Metazoa; Arthropoda; Insecta; Lepidoptera; Bombycidae.